GACCCUUUUCACAAGAUGGCGCCGAAAGCGAAGAAGGAAGCUCCUGCCACUCCUAAAGCCCAAGCCAAAGCGAAGGCUUUAAAGGCCAAGAAGGCAGUGUUGAAAGGUGUUCACAGCCACAAAAAAAAGAAGAUCCGCACGUCACCCACCUUCCAGAGGCCCAAGACACUGCGACUCCGGAGACAGCCUAAAUAUCCUCGGAAGAGCGCUCCCAGGAGAAACAAGCUUGACCACUCUGCUAUCAUCAAGUUUCCGCUGACCACUGAGUCUGCCAUGAAGAAGAUAGAAGACAACAACACACUUGUGUUCAUUGUGGAUGUUAAAGCCAACAAGCACCAGAUUAAACAGGCUGUGAAGAAGCUCUGUGUUGUGGCCAAGACAUUGGCCAAGGUCAACACCCUGAUUCGGCCUGACGGAGAGAAGAAGGCAUAUAUUCGACUGGCUCCUGAUUACGAUGCUUUGGAUGUUGCCAACAAAAUUGGUAUCAUCUAAACUGAGUCCAGCUGCCUAAUUCUAAAUAUAUAUAUAUAUAUCUUUUCACUGUAAAAAAAAAAAUAUAUAUAUAUAUAAAACUGACAAUGUUCAGCAUCCAAUAAAAAAUGACUAAACAAGUCAAGAAGCAGAAAUAUGUGACCCAUAACCAGAAAAAUAAUCACUCAAAGGAAACAGACCCAGAAAUGACAGAGAUAGAAUUAGCAGAGAAGAAUAUUAAAACACCUAUUAUAAUUAUUUUUGACUAUUUAAAUUAAAACAUGAACAAAGUGAGGAAAGAAAUUGAAGGCAUUAAAAAAAGAGAGAGAGAAGUUUCAGGAGAAUGACACCAUACUGAAGAAAGGAGUGAAGAAGACAAAAUUAAGGUAGAGAACAAAGACCAUUUAUUCAAGAAGUAUAGCUGGAAAGACAGAAAGGGGUAGCAAGGCAAAGGCUAGGCAGCUGUUGGUUGGUUUUCUUAGGAAAAAAAAAGAGAAAAAGCAAACAAGAAAAGCAAAAGAGGAGGCAGUUGAGAAAGCAAGCUUUAAUUGUUAGAGGAAAUUAUGUGAGGUUAAUGGUUCUAGGAAGCUUUAGGAGAGAAAACUUAUCUCUAAAGAGAAGAGGAAUGAUUUUAUCCUGAGGUAAUUGAAAGAGGUAAACAUAAAAUAGAGACAGAAAGUUCAAGGGAAUUAAACAAGGCCAGGGUAACUAAGGGAGUUUCAGUAAACAGGAAGCAAAAUCCUUCACUAAAAGGUGACAGGAUUGGGAAGAGCAAUGUGUGAAAAAAAAAAAAAAAUGAGAAGGGAGAGCCUGAACCAGAGA
RNA transcript from Nomascus leucogenys (northern white-cheeked gibbon), 1293 nucleotides. It is a transcript of the gene named 60S ribosomal protein L23a pseudogene, with no coding region annotated. The transcript has a single exon. The record is from RefSeq and is a predicted model, not a curated record. Lineage: Eukaryota; Metazoa; Chordata; Mammalia; Primates; Hylobatidae.